ACCUCUCGGAGCCACUAAUGAACCGCCUGGAAGACAAGUGCCUGGAGUUGGUGGAGCACUUUGGCCCCAAUGAGCUGCGGAAGGUGCUGGUGAUGCUGGCAGCUCAGAGCCGGCGGUCCGUGCCCUUGCUGCGGGCCAUCUCCUACCACCUGGUGCAGAAGCCCUUCUCUCUGACGAAAGAUGUGCUCUUGGACGUGGCCUAUGCCUAUGGCAAACUCAGCUUUCACCAGACCCAGGUGUCCCAGCGCCUGGCCACCGACCUGCUAUCCCUCAUGCCCAGCCUGACUUCUGGUGAGGUGGCCCACUGUGCCAAGUCCUUCGCCUUACUCAAGUGGCUCAGCCUGCCCCUGUUUGAGGCCUUUGCCCAGGUGAGCCAGGGCCUGGCCCCAACUCAGAGAAGCUGGCUUCCUGGCCAUCUGCUGGGAACCAUUGCCUUAGUCGGGAAAGUAAAGCCAGUCUGAAAAUGCUCACUUGUGGGGGCAAAUACAUAUUUCUUGCAUUUUGGCUUAUUUUGAAAGGGCUGCUAUUCAGUUCUCAAAAAAGUGUUUGAGAACUGUUUCCUCUGUUCUUUCACUGACCAUUAUAAGUGCUUCCAUCCAUUUUGGGGUAGCUGUAGCAGGUAGCAGCAUGGCUGAUGAGACUGAGAAUCCACUGAGAACUGUCUACUGAAUCACUGAUCCCCCUCGCAAAGUGGAACUGUACAGAAAGAUGACACCUGCAGUUACGUUUAUGUGUGACCAGUCUAAACUAAGUUUACUGGCUGGAGAAUAUUUCUAAAUCCCUUAUCAGAAAGAAGCAGCUUCUAGGUGUCCCCAGCCUCUGUGGGUAGUUGCUG
This 835-nucleotide small RNA is filed under the name Pan troglodytes (chimpanzee). RNAcentral describes it as "retained intron". The record is from RNAcentral. Lineage: Eukaryota; Metazoa; Chordata; Mammalia; Primates; Hominidae.